GUUUACUCAAACUCAGGUCAAUUGAGUCGAUGAUUCUAUCCAAACACCUCAUCCUCUGUUGUCCCCUUCUCCUCCCGCCCUCAGUCUUUCCCAGCAUCAGGGUCUUUUCCAAUGAGUCAGUUUUUUGCAUCAGGUGGCCAAAGUAUUAGAGUUACAGCUUCAGCAUCAGUCUUCCCAGUGAAUAUUCAGGACUGAUUUCCUUUAGGAUGGACUGGUUGGAUCUCCUUGCAAGUCCAAGGGACUCUCAAGAGUCUUCUCCAACACCACAGUUCAAAAGCAUCUAUUCUUCGGUGCUCAGCUUUCUUUAUUGUCCAACUCUCACAUCCAUACAUGACUACUGGAAAAACCCUACCUUAGUGGUACUGAAAUAUUGUUCUUUCAUUUCAUGCCUAGGAAAGAGUGUCCCCCACAUCUCUCCUUUUGGAUGUGCCAGAGAAGCCUGCAACCCCACUGCUUCUAACAGCCUUCUUGUGACUAAGAUGUAUCUCAAGCCCUUUGAGUCAUAUCAAGCCUGA
Molecule: long non-coding RNA, 515 nt
Filed under: Capra hircus (goat)
Lineage: Eukaryota; Metazoa; Chordata; Mammalia; Artiodactyla; Bovidae
Description: lncRNA (ENSCHIG00000007123.1)
Source: RNAcentral